CAAUAGCGUAUAUUAAAGUUGUUGCGGUUAAAAAGCUCGUAGUUGGAUUUCUGUUGGGAACGACCGGUCCGCCCAUUGGGUGUGUAUCUGGCUUGUUCUCGGCAUCUUCUUGGUGAACGUUGCUGCACUUGACUGUGUGGAGCGCUACCCAGGACUUUUACUUUGAGGAAAUUAGAGUGUUUCAAGCAGGCAUAUGCCUUGAAUACAUUAGCAUGGAAUAAUAAGAUAGGACCUCGGUUCUAUUUUGUUGGUUUCUAGAGCUGAGGUAAUGAUUAAUAGGGAUAGUUGGGGGCAUUCGUAUUUAACUGUCAGAGGUGGAAUUCUUGGAUUUGUUAAAGACGAACUACUGCGAAAGCAUUUGCCAGGUAUGUGUUCAUUGA
This 380-nucleotide ribosomal RNA is filed under the name uncultured eukaryote. Its description in RNAcentral is "partial 18S ribosomal RNA". It matches the Rfam family "Eukaryotic small subunit ribosomal RNA", at positions 592 to 976 of the family's 1831-position model. The record is from RNAcentral.